UGGGGAAUAUUGCGCAAUGGGGGAAACCCUGACGCAGCGACGCCGCGUGCGGGAUGAAGGCCUUCGGGUUGUAAACCGCUUUUGAUUGGGAGCAAGCUUUCGGGUGAGUGUACCUUUCGAAUAAGCGCCGGCUAACUACGUGCCAGCAGCCGCGGUAAUACGUAGGGCGCAAGCGUUAUCCGGAAUUAUUGGGCGUAAAGAGCUUGUAGGCGGUUCGUCGCGUCGGGUGUGAAAGCCCAUCGCUUAACGGUGGGUUUGCGCCGGGUACGGGCGGGCUAGAGUGCAGUAGGGGAGACUGGAAUUCCCGGUGUAACGGUGGAAUGUGUAGAUAUCGGGAAGAACACCAAUGGCGAAGGCAGGUCUCUGGGCUGUUACUGACGCUGAGGCUCGAAAGCGUGGGGAGCGAACAGG
RNAcentral lists this ribosomal RNA (411 nucleotides) under Bacteroidota bacterium. RNAcentral describes it as "Bacteroidetes bacterium partial 16S ribosomal RNA". It matches the Rfam family "Bacterial small subunit ribosomal RNA", at positions 355 to 776 of the family's 1533-position model. Lineage: Bacteria; Pseudomonadati; Bacteroidota. The record is from RNAcentral.